GGGGAUGUAGCUCAGUUAGCAGAGUGUUUGCUCAGCAGGUACAAAGCCCUGGGUUUGAAUCCCAAUAUC
This 69-nucleotide transfer RNA is filed under the name Mus musculus (house mouse). Its description in RNAcentral is "tRNA-Ala". The record is from RNAcentral. Lineage: Eukaryota; Metazoa; Chordata; Mammalia; Rodentia; Muridae.